AACGCUGGCGGCGUGCUUAACACAUGCAAGUCGAACGGAAAGGCCCUGCUUUUGUGGGGUGCUCGAGUGGCGAACGGGUGAGUAACACGUGAGUAACCUGCCCUUGACUUUGGGAUAACUUCAGGAAACUGGGGCUAAUACCGGAUAGGAGCUCCUGCUGCAUGGUGGGGGUUGGAAAGUUUCGGCGGUUGGGGAUGGACUCGCGGCUUAUCAGCUUGUUGGUGGGGUAGUGGCUUACCAAGGCUUUGACGGGUAGCCGGCCUGAGAGGGUGACCGGCCACAUUGGGACUGAGAUACGGCCCAGUCUCCUACGGGAGGCAGCAGUGGGGAAUAUUGCUCAAUGGGCGGAAGCCUGAUGCAGCAACGCCGCGUGCGGGAUGACGGCCUUCGGGUUGUAAACCGCUUUCGCCUGUGACGAAGCGUGAGUGACGGUAAUGGGUAAAGAAGCACCGGCUAACUACGUG
This 464-nucleotide ribosomal RNA is filed under the name uncultured bacterium. RNAcentral describes it as "partial 16S ribosomal RNA". It matches the Rfam family "Bacterial small subunit ribosomal RNA", at positions 32 to 507 of the family's 1533-position model. The record is from RNAcentral.